This is a long non-coding RNA of Gadus chalcogrammus (walleye pollock), 380 nucleotides long. RefSeq lists it as uncharacterized. The record is from RefSeq and is a predicted model, not a curated record. The transcript has 4 exons. NCBI's taxonomy places the organism in Eukaryota, Metazoa, Chordata, Actinopteri, Gadiformes, Gadidae.
AACGGCUCAAGCAUGCCCUGAAUGCCUGUUACCACCUGACGCUUCGACCGGCACCUGCGGCUAAGUGAAGAAACCCAAAACAGAAAGAUUGAUCGAGAGCAGGACAGAAGAGUCCUCCCUGAGGAGUGGCCCCAGUGGAUCCCCAGAUUCCCACAGAAGAUUCAGACAGCGAGAGAGAGGAGCCUCCAACAACGAGUGGCGGCCCAAGGUACCUCCAGACAUUUCCAAAUCAAGAACCGAUAGAUCUUUAAGGACAGUCUUUGAAGUGUUCAGUUUUAAUGAGAUGUCACUGUUUGGAUUCUCUGUCUGAUAUGUGUAAAUGUGGCUCAAACUUGAAUCUAAUCUUGCAGAGUCCGCCUAAUACCCAUUGUGAAUAUGAU